UGGGGAAUUUUGCGCAAUGGGCGAAAGCCUGACGCAGCAACGCCGCGUGGAGGAUGAAGGUCUUUGGAUUGUAAACUCCUGUCAGCAGGGAAGAAGGCUACUGACCUCAUACGUCAGUAGAUUGACUGUACCUGCAGAGGAAGCCCCGGCUAACUCUGUGCCAGCAGCCGCGGUAAUACAGAGGGGGCGAGCGUUAUUCGGAAUUAUUGGGCGUAAAGGGCGCGUAGGCGGCUUGGCAAGUGGAAGGUGAAAUCCCUCGGCUCAACUGAGGAACUGCCUUCCAAACUGCUUUGCUUGAGGCCGGGAGAGGUGAGUGGAAUUCCCAGUGUAGCGGUGAAAUGCGUAGAUAUUGGGAGGAACACCAGUGGCGAAGGCGGCUCACUGGACCGGUUCUGACGCUGAUGCGCGAAAGCGUGGGGAGCAAACGGGAUUAGAUACCCCCGUAGUCC
Molecule: ribosomal RNA, 449 nt
Filed under: uncultured bacterium
Lineage: Bacteria
Description: bacterial SSU rRNA
Rfam family: Bacterial small subunit ribosomal RNA
Source: RNAcentral